RNAcentral lists this ribosomal RNA (572 nucleotides) under Alternaria sp. RNAcentral's name for it is "eukaryotic LSU rRNA". The stretch from base 198 to 351 matches the Rfam family "5.8S ribosomal RNA". The record is from RNAcentral. Lineage: Eukaryota; Fungi; Ascomycota; Dothideomycetes; Pleosporales; Pleosporaceae.
UUCCGUAGGGUGAACCUGCGGAGGGAUCAUUACACAAAUAUGAAGGCGGGCUGGAAUCUCUCGGGGUUACAGCCUUGCUGAAUUAUUCACCCUUGUCUUUUGCGUACUUCUUGUUUCCUUGGUGGGUUCGCCCACCACUAGGACAAACAUAAACCUUUUGUAAUUGCAAUCAGCGUCAGUAACAAAUUAAUAAUUACAACUUUCAACAACGGAUCUCUUGGUUCUGGCAUCGAUGAAGAACGCAGCGAAAUGCGAUAAGUAGUGUGAAUUGCAGAAUUCAGUGAAUCAUCGAAUCUUUGAACGCACAUUGCGCCCUUUGGUAUUCCAAAGGGCAUGCCUGUUCGAGCGUCAUUUGUACCCUCAAGCUUUGCUUGGUGUUGGGCGUCUUGUCUCUAGCUUUGCUGGAGACUCGCCUUAAAGUAAUUGGCAGCCGGCCUACUGGUUUCGGAGCGCAGCACAAGUCGCACUCUCUAUCAGCAAAGGUCUAGCAUCCAUUAAGCCUUUUUUCAACUUUUGACCUCGGAUCAGGUAGGGAUACCCGCUGAACUUAAGCAUAUCAAUAANCGGAGGAA